CCUACGGGUGGCAGCAGUGGGGAAUAUUGGACAAUGGGGGCAACCCUGAUCCAGCCAUGCCGCGUGUGUGAAGAAGGCUCUCGGGUUGUAAAGCACUUUCAGUGAGGAAGAACGCCUGGUGGUUAAUACCCAUCAGGAAAGACAUCACUCACAGAAGAAGCACCGGCUAACUCCGUGCCAGCAGCCGCGGUAAUACGGAGGGUGCGAGCGUUAAUCGGAAUUACUGGGCGUAAAGCGCGCGUAGGUGGCUUGAUAAGCCGGUUGUGAAAGCCCCGGGCUCAACCUGGGAACGGCAUCCGGAACUGUCAAGCUAGAGUGCAGGAGAGGAAGGUAGAAUUCCCGGUGUAGCGGUGAAAUGCGUAGAGAUCGGGAGGAAUACCAGUGGCGAAGGCGGCCUUCUGGACUGACACUGACACUGAGGUGCGAAAGCGUGGGUAGCAAACAGGAUUAGAUACCCCAGUAGUC
RNAcentral lists this ribosomal RNA (465 nucleotides) under Vreelandella stevensii. Its description in RNAcentral is "partial 16S ribosomal RNA". It matches the Rfam family "Bacterial small subunit ribosomal RNA", at positions 338 to 795 of the family's 1533-position model. Lineage: Bacteria; Pseudomonadati; Pseudomonadota; Gammaproteobacteria; Oceanospirillales; Halomonadaceae. The record is from RNAcentral.